GGGGGUGUAGCUCAGAGGAAGAGCAAUCGACAGCAGAUCGAGAGGUCCCCAGUUCAAUUCUGGGUGCCCCCU
Molecule: non-coding RNA, 72 nt
Organism: Penaeus chinensis
Lineage: Eukaryota; Metazoa; Arthropoda; Malacostraca; Decapoda; Penaeidae
Source: the annotation of a RefSeq genome assembly